UUCAUCAAGUGUGUAGCAUCUGUAAUAGCUUACACAGACACCUGAAUACUUGUAUGUAUCCUUGCAAGCAUUUGAGUUAAAGUAACCUAACAGCAUCCAUUACUGCUCUGUUCUCGCUAACCAGCUGUACCAUCUGAUGAAGGCCUGGUAGGGGACUAGAGAGCUGAAGGAGAGCCAGCUUCUCCAGAAUUGGUCUCUUUACUGCAGGACUUCUCAGAACCUUUAAUAUGCUAAUGUGCAUUGUGAAUCUCCAAGAUGGGGAUAUGAUAUGCAGCAUUCUUGAAUACUUCUAAUGACAGGGAGCCCACUACCUCAUAAGCUGCAGCAACAAGAGGAGCUUGUAAUUUUAAACGGAGGCUGAAGACACUGUAGAAUUAGCAGACAUAAGACAGCGUGGAGAAGGCAGAGGAUGGAGUUGCAGACUCUACAGGAGGCUCUUAAAGUGGAAAUUCAGGUUCACCAGAAACUGGUUGCCCAAAUGAAGCAGGAUCCACAGAAUGCUGACUUAAAGAAACAGCUUCAUGAACUCCAAGCCAAAAUCACAGCUUUGAGUGAGAAACAGAAAAGAGUAGUUGAACAGCUGCGCAAGAACCUGAUAGUCAAGCAAGAGCAGCCGGACAAGUUCCAGAUACAGCCAUUGUCACAGUCUGAAAACAAACUACAAACAGCACAGCAGCAGCCACUACAGCCACUGCAGCAGCAGCAGCAACAGCAGCAACAACAGCAGCAGCAGCAACAGCAACAGCAGCAGCAGCAGCAGCAGCAGCAGCAGCAGCAGCACGCCCAGCAGUCAGCACCACCGCCUAGUCUGACUGCAUCACAGAAGACUGUAACUACAGCUUCUAUGAUUACCACAAAGACACUACCUCUCGUCUUGAAAGCAGCAACUGCGACCAUGCCUGCCUCUGUUGUGGGCCAGAGACCUACCAUUGCUAUGGUGACCGCCAUCAACAGCCAGAAGGCUGUGCUCAGCACUGAUGUGCAGAACACACCAGUCAACCUCCAGACGUCUAGUAAGGUCACUGGGCCUGGGGCAGAGGCUGUCCAAAUUGUGGCAAAAAACACAGUCACUCUGCAGGUUCAAGCAACACCUCCUCAGCCCAUCAAAGUACCACAGUUUAUCCCUCCUCCUAGACUCACUCCACGUCCAAACUUCCUUCCACAGGUUCGACCCAAGCCUGUGGCCCAGAAUAACAUUCCUAUCGCUCCAGCACCUCCUCCAAUGCUUGCAGCUCCUCAGCUUAUCCAGAGGCCUGUCAUGCUGACCAAGUUUACACCCACAACCCUCCCCACAUCCCAGAAUUCCAUCCACCCUGUCCGUGUUGUCAAUGGACAGACUGCAACCAUAGCCAAAACGUUCCCCAUGGCCCAGCUCACCAGCAUUGUCAUAGCUACUCCAGGGACCAGACUCGCUGGACCUCAGACUGUACAGCUUAGCAAACCAAGCCUGGAGAAACAGACAGUUAAAUCCCACCCAGAAACAGAGGAGAAACAAGCAGAGAGCCGUACCGUUACCCCACCUGCUGCACCAAAACCAAAACGAGAAGAGAACCCUCAGAAACUUGCCUUCAUGGUGUCUCUAGGGUUGGUAACACAUGACCAUCUAGAAGAAAUCCAAAGCAAGAGGCAGGAACGAAAGAGAAGAACAACAGCAAAUCCGGUGUACAGUGGGGCCGUCUUCGAGCCAGAGCGUAAGAAGAGUGCAGUCACUUACCUUAACAGCACAAUGCAUCCUGGGACGCGGAAGAGAGGUCGUCCUCCAAAAUACAAUGCAGUGCUGGGGUUUGGAGCCCUUACCCCAACAUCCCCCCCAUCCAGUCAUCCCGACUCCCCUGAAAAUGAAAAGACAGAGACCACAUUCACUUUCCCUGCAUCUGUUCAGCCUGUGUCUUUGCCCAGCCCCACCUCCACAGACGGUGAUAUCCAUGAGGAUUUUUGCAGUGUUUGCAGAAAGAGUGGCCAGUUGCUGAUGUGUGACACGUGUUCCCGUGUGUAUCAUCUGGAUUGCUUAGAGCCGCCCCUGAAAACAAUUCCCAAGGGCAUGUGGAUCUGUCCCAGAUGUCAGGACCAGAUGCUGAAAAAGGAAGAAGCAAUUCCUUGGCCUGGAACCUUAGCCAUUGUUCAUUCCUACAUCGCCUACAAAGCAGCAAAAGAAGAGGAGAAACAGAAGCUACUUAAGUGGAGUUCAGAUUUAAAACAGGAGCGGGAACAACUGGAGCAGAAGGUCAAAGAGCUCAGCAGUUCUAUAAGUAAAUGUAUGGAGAUGAAGAGCAGCAUCCUGGCGCGGCAGAAGGAGAUGCGCAGCUCCCUGGACAAGGUGAAGCGGCUCAUCCGCCUCGUGCAUGGUGUUGACCUCUGCAGACCUGUGGACUCUGAGGCCACGGCGGGGGCCCUCUCCAAUGGCCCAGACUGCACUCCCCCUGCCAACGCCGCCUCCACACCUGCCCCUUCCCCCUCCUCGCAGAGCUGCACAGCGAACUGUAACCAGGGGGAAGAGACUAAAUAACAGAGCCCUCGAGGCGGACAUGCCACGGUCCUGGUGGCGAGGAGACGCUAGAAGAGCAAAGCCGGAUUUCUUCUGGAAAGUACAGAGUUCUUUUGGUUCUUUGGUUCCAGAGAGAGAGAAGAUGCUUGUGCCAGGUGGCACCCGAGUUUGCCAAUUGAUUCUUGUUAUUCUGUGUGUACAUGCAAAGACUGGACCAUGUUACAUGAAAUAGUGCCAGCUGGAGGUUCUUUGCCAGCACCAUGCCAAGUGACAUAAUAUAUUACUCUCUCUAUUAUACACCAGUGUGUGCCUGCAGCAGCCUCCACAGCCACGGUGGGUUCGUUUUUGUUUUGUUGGGUGGGGAGCAGGGACGGGCGGAGGGAGGAGAGCAGGUUUCAGAUCCUUACUGGGAGCCGUUUGUUUAGGUAGAAAAGAUAAGUCCAAAGAGUGUGCGGGCUUUCCUGUUCCUAAACUUUUCACUACCAUAAAACCAAAAAACGAAAAAAAAGAUAAAAAGAUCAAAAAGGAAAUAGAGAUUUAACUAACCCAGUGCCCAGAAGAGGGACGGGAAGGGCUGGGAGGGGGCAAGGGUGGGAAAGUAUAUGACAUAAGCAGUAUUUAAUGUUCCUUGAGGGGCCUAGUGCAAGAGGAGAGCCCCGCCCCUCCACAGCUCACCCCGCCCACAGCCUCCUGCAGCCCCUCCCCUCUGCUUGGUGUUGUACACAGCCUCAGGUGGUUCCAGGCCUUGCUGAGCAGGGAAGGGAGGGUACGAGGAGUCCAGAGGGAGAAAGGCGGAUCAGAGGUUUUACUUGAAAACAAGCUCCAUCCCUUUUCUAUAUUUAUAAGAAGAGAAGGUUCUAAGCAGAGCAGCACGACCCAGGUGUGUGUGAAUGGAGUCGACCCUUUUCUCUUCUUAAAGUUUAUUUUUGUUUCUG
This is an RNA transcript of Mus pahari (shrew mouse), 3420 nucleotides long. It is a transcript of the gene named PHD finger protein 21A, with no coding region annotated. The transcript has 20 exons. Lineage: Eukaryota; Metazoa; Chordata; Mammalia; Rodentia; Muridae. The record is from RefSeq and is a predicted model, not a curated record.